This 508-nucleotide ribosomal RNA is filed under the name uncultured bacterium. RNAcentral describes it as "partial 16S ribosomal RNA". It matches the Rfam family "Bacterial small subunit ribosomal RNA", at positions 30 to 523 of the family's 1533-position model. The record is from RNAcentral.
AUUGAACGCUGGCGGCAUGCCUUACACAUGCAAGUCGAACGGCAGCGGGGGAGAAGCUUGCUUUUCCUGCCGGCGAGUGGCGAACGGGUGAGUAAUACAUCGGAACGUGCCCUGUAGUGGGGGAUAACUAGUCGAAAGAUUAGCUAAUACCGCAUACGACCUGAGGGUGAAAGUGGGGGACCGCAAGGCCUCAUGCUAUAGGAGCGGCCGAUGUCUGAUUAGCUAGUUGGUGGGGUAAAGACCUACCAAGGCGUCGAUCAGUAGCCGGUCUGAGAGGACGAUCAGCCACACUGGGACUGAGACACGGCCCAGACUCCUACGGGAGGCAGCAGUGGGGAAUUUUGGACAAUGGGCGAAAGCCUGAUCCAGCAAUGCCGCGUGUGUGAAGAAGGCCUUCGGGUUGUAAAGCACUUUUGUCCGGAAAGAAAUGGCUCUGGUUAAUACCUGGGGUCGAUGACGGUACCGGAAGAAUAAGGACCGGCUAACUACGUGCCAGCAGCCGCAGUAA